Molecule: long non-coding RNA, 217 nt
Filed under: Elaeis guineensis (African oil palm)
Lineage: Eukaryota; Viridiplantae; Streptophyta; Magnoliopsida; Arecales; Arecaceae
Description: long non-coding RNA (EGUI_LNC029452)
Source: RNAcentral
AUCUUAUCAAAUUCGAUUCUAUAUUUUUAUUGAACUGUGUUAAUUCUUCUAUCUGUUGAACUUCAUUAAGUUUAACCUUAGUGGCAUCAGUUCCUUCACCAAAGAAUUCUUUUUUCAAAAAGUAUGCCUUCAAACCCACGAACACUUUUUGUUCAUUAGGAAGGAAGAAGUAAUAUCCCCUAGCUUCGUUAAGAUAUCCUACAAAAUAACACUUAUC